AAAAGCCACAACACUUACUACCUGGCAUUUGAUGGUGACAUUUUGCACCCUUGAUGUGGCUCAACGCUUGAAUCUAUUUGUGAGCAAAUCCAUUGACAUGAAGACGGUCAUGCUCUUUGGCAUUCUAAAUGGCAUCUCCAUUGGAUUUCUCAAUUUGAGCCUUGGCUUCAAUUCCAUUGGAUUCUACCAGAUGACAACACUGACAAUAAUACCAUUCACAGUGCUACUAGAAACUGUUUUCCUAAAGAAACAAUUCAGGUAUUAAAAACUGAUAGUAAAAAAUAAUUGAAUUUGGAAAUUAAAGGGCAAUUAAUGCUUAAUUUACUUACUGCAAAACCUUAUGAUAACAUUGUGCAGCCAGAAAAUAAAGUUCUCUCUAUUCCUAUUACUUGUUAGAGUUGGGAUUGCUUCAUACCAGAUUAUGUCACAACGGUUUCUUGAAAUUGAUGCGGGACGCUACAACAAAUCCAGCUAAGCUAUUAACACAAAACAAUUACAUGUCUUGAAAUAAUGUUUAAAAAAAUUAUCUAAGAUGAAAUGAAGUGAAAUGAAAUAAUUGCAUCUCACUUUUUCUUCUCAUGCUGAUCCUUGACAAGAAGUGCAGAACCAAAAGCACCUUUUUCAAUUUGCUCAAGUAUUUUGUACUGCUUGAUGAACGGACUCUUGACGGUUUAGAAUUUCACUAAUGAAAUCUCGUUGUAAGUAUAGUUUCUAAACCAACAAAUAAUCCUUUCAUAUAAAAGAUUGUUUGUCACAAGUACACUACAAGAAAAAAGAUUUUUACCGACAAAUUUUUAGCGGCAAUAAUAUUAUUGCCGUAAAUUCUCUUCUCAAAACCAAUUUUUAGUGGCAAUUAUAUAUUUGCCAUUAAAACUACAGAUUAUAAUGGCUAUUUCAACUAUUGCCACUAAAAAAAAAGCUAAAAUUUUAAAAAUAAAAUAACCUAAAUCGUAAAAUGCAAAAUCAACUCUCCGUGCCUCGCCACUCUUUCUCACACAAACAACUCUCUUAGUGCCUUAUUCUCUCUGAGAAAUGAUAACCAUACACCAAUCUUCUUCUUCUCGCUCUUGCUCUCGCUCUCACAUCUGCAUCAUUUCAUGUUCUUCAUCCAUCAAAUCUCUUUCUAGUAUUCAUCUCAAUCUUAAUCGUCCUCUGAUUCCUUUUCUCAGACAAGCCUGUGUUGAUUUCGAUUGAAAUCUCAAUCGCGCUCUAGUAAUUAGGUUGAACUCGUCAUUUAGAAAAAUAGCAGCGGUGGUGGAGGAGAAUGGGAAUCAUGGCGGUAGAGGGAAUAAGAAUUUGAGCUUGAGUGGCGGUGUCAAUGGUGGAUAUCAGAAAGGAAAGAAGAAAGAGAUGCCGGUGAAGAAUCUCAUGGCCGAGAGUCGGUGUAGGAAGAAGCUUAAUGAUAGGUUGUACAUGCCUAGAUGGAUAGGGCUUCGAUACUUGAGGAUGCAAUCGACUACUUGAGGGAGUUACUGCAGCGGAUUAAUGAUCUUCACAAUGAAUAGGAGGCAACUCCACCUGGUUCUUCGCUACAAUUUUCCACCACAAGCCUUCAACCUUUGACACCCACACCUGCAAUUAUUAUUGUUUGACCGCAAACUUUCCCAGCAAAUUGUAUUCAAAGGAUAAUUCUGGUUCUGGUAGAUCGAACAUCAAAAAUAACAGACCCCUGCUCUUUUCAGCCUUUGGUUUAUGAUUUUCAACCAAAAGACCCUGAAGAUCCAUAUGAUGCACUAGCAGUUCUAUCUGGUAGAUCAGUGUCAGGAGCUGUCCUGGUGAGGAAGCUGAAAAAAUUGCCAAGAAGCAAAUGUCGGCUAGUUGGAUAUUCAAAAGAAGAUGCUGAAAAAGUAGCAACUGAAUUCAACAAAACAUGGGAAACAAGUUUGAGAGUUGGUGUUAAUGAUUGCCAUCACUAUACCAACGCUAACACUACAUAUCUUUCCAGAAGUAGUUCAUUUAGAUAAGUUAAACAUCAUUAUUUAAUCUUGUCUUAUUUUUUUCUAUUAAGGUGAAAGAACGUAUAAGAAAAUAUUUGUUGAAUUGAUUUUAUGUAGAGUUGAAUAAUUAAUUUGACCAUGAAGUAUAUAAUAUUUUGGUAGGUUUAGUGACGUAACUGACCGGGGAAAAAUAUGUGCUAAAAUGUUUGAAGAACAUCGUCACUUAAAUUGGCACGGUUAAGGAGGUGCAUCAGUUGGGCUUGGGUGUAUUAAUUAAGCAUGUGCUUUGAACAUUGAAAACUCAAAAGUCUGAAAGGAAUGAAGCUGAUAGCGCUUGCCAUAAUUAAUAUCUUGGGAAUGUCACUAAUUAAGUUCAGUCAAAGAGAAGCAAUUAUGGUUAUAAGCAAUGGCUCUAAGCUUAGACAACAUUUACUAUAAUACCAACACUAACACCAGCUUAAACAUAAUUAGAAUAUCUCUCAUGAAGAAUUUAUCACCCCCAAGACAGCUUCAUUGAAGAUGAUUCAUAAGAAACCUUUUCAGUUCACAAGUCACUAGUGGUUUCAGAUUUUGGAAGUGAGGAAUCAGAAGUAGUAGUAGUAGAAGUAGAAGAAGAAGAAGAAGAAUUGUUUCCAGGAAGAGAUGCUGAUUCUGUUCCAGAUUCUGUCCCAAUUGAGAUAGUGACAAAAAGUGACAUAUUAGAUAGAGACAAAAACUCUGAUGAAGAUGAUGAGGUUGGUGUUGGACUUGUGAAGAAUAAGAAGGUGCAAGAUUCAAACAAGAUCACAAGGGAUGAUGAUGAGAGAUUUUUCUAUGUGCAUGCUGGUCAUACUAUUACACAAUUGGACAGUACUAAUAAUAAGAACCUUAUUGUUGAGGAAAAGGAUCAUAAUAAUAAAUAUGAUGAGGCAAUAUUUGGAGAUUCUUACACAUGAGCCUGUUGCUCAAUUUGGUGUUAUCUUUUUGCUUUUUGCAUUGGGAUUAGAAUUUUCAACAACAAAGGUUGACUUGUAUACUUAUAUAUUCAGUUAGUUUAUACUCAUAAUUUUAGCUCACCAUAUUUUUUAUGAACCUGUCUAUUUAUGUUUAUAGCUUCGAGUUGUUCAAGCGGUCGCAAUUCUUGGCAGUCUACUUCAAAUUUUCUUAUUUAUGUGCUUGUGUGAAUAACAGCUACGCUAUGUGGUGGUAAAUCAUCUGAAGGAAUAUUUGUUGGUGCAUUUCUUUCUGUCUUCGACAGCAAUGAUCUUGAAAUUCUUGAUGGAAAGGAAUAAUUUAACAUUAGAAGAAAGUGGAAAUUAGGACUGUCCAAAUCAAAAUUGUAUUAUAUGAGCAUACAACCCCCUCAAUCUCAAUCUUGAUUUCAUCAAGAACAAGAACAAGAAGAUGGUUUCUGGUUCCUCAAUAUCUCCAAGGAUUAAGGCUGCUACUUGUAACGACCCAACCUCCAGAACGUCAUGAUCGUACUGAAAUAGUAACCACGGUGGCAACAAAAUAGAGUUCAAAUUCAAUGGAGUUGGAAAUGGAAAUGAGUUAAAUAGAAUUGGAACUACAAAUAGCUUACAAUAAAAUAACGGAGCAGCAACAACAGGAUUCAGGGCAGCUCCAGUGACGGUAAUGGCUGAGCCAACAUAAACAGUAGCAGAAACAGGGGCUGAGCAAAGGACAAUGGUUCCAACCUUCGUGAACUCUCUCCCACCGCAGAUGGGCUUUCUAACAGCAACGGCUUCUGAUCACAGCACAACAACCUGGCGCGGUGAAGAUCCUUUCUUCCUCUACUCUGCGUGUAUUCCGCGAUGUUGGUUAUAGUAGCAUCCAGCAAACCCUCCUCCAGCGGCGGCUCCUUCGACGGCACCAAGGCACGACGGCGACGGAAGGCCCGACGGUACAACUUCAUGCCACUGGGUCGCACUCCUCCUUGCAUCACUGAUUCGCGUCCUCCUUCCUGAACGUCGUGCGUUCUCUCUCUCCGCUGGUCCUUGACGGCGACGGCUCCAAGGGAGAUGACGAGCAAGGACGGCGGUGGCUCCUCGUGGUGGUCGCCCUCCUCUAUUCGGUGACGUCAGUGGCGGGACGGGCUUGGUGGGAGGCAGAACGACUUCUGUGCAGCGACGAUCGGCGUGGCUUCGACGGUGAUGCUCCUCGCGGUUCCACAAACGGCAACGACGAAUCCGAUCGUGACGGGAGGCGCGACAGCGCGGGCGGAGCUGGACGGUGGCAAUGCGACGGUCACGGCAGCGGCGGGGCAGCAGCUCUUCCUUCUCUCUUUCCUAUGCUCUUC
This is a non-coding RNA of Arachis ipaensis, 4215 nucleotides long. NCBI's taxonomy places the organism in Eukaryota, Viridiplantae, Streptophyta, Magnoliopsida, Fabales, Fabaceae. The record is from RefSeq and is a predicted model, not a curated record.